AGAGAGAAAAAGAGAGAGAGAAAGAGAGAGAGAAAAUUAUCGGGAAUCACGAGAAAGCUACCUUCCGAAAAUAGGAGACAAGGUCACCCCUUCUUAAACCAUUUCCUACGUUCUCUUCCUCGCUCCGUCGCAC
Long non-coding RNA from Apis dorsata (giant honeybee), 133 nucleotides. RefSeq lists it as uncharacterized. NCBI's taxonomy places the organism in Eukaryota, Metazoa, Arthropoda, Insecta, Hymenoptera, Apidae. The transcript is spliced from 2 exons. The record is from RefSeq and is a predicted model, not a curated record.